This 438-nucleotide ribosomal RNA is filed under the name uncultured bacterium. RNAcentral describes it as "bacterial SSU rRNA". It matches the Rfam family "Bacterial small subunit ribosomal RNA", at positions 37 to 518 of the family's 1533-position model. The record is from RNAcentral.
UGGCGGCAGGCUUAACACAUGCAAGUCGAGCGGGCGUAGCAAUACGUCAGCGGCAGACGGGUGAGUAACGCGUGGGAACGUACCUUUUGGUUCGGAACAACCCAGGGAAACUUGGGCUAAUACCGGAUAAGCCCUUACGGGGAAAGAUUUAUCGCCGAAAGAUCGGCCCGCGUCUGAUUAGCUAGUUGGUGGGGUAAUGGCCCACCAAGGCGACGAUCAGUAGCUGGUCUGAGAGGAUGAUCAGCCACAUUGGGACUGAGACACGGCCCAAACUCCUGCGGGAGGCAGCAGUGGGGAAUAUUGGACAAUGGGCGCAAGCCUGAUCCAAGCCAUGCCGCGUGAGUGAUGAAGGCCCUAGGGUUGUAAAGCUCUUUUGUGCGGGAAGAUAAUGACGGUACCGCAAGAAUAAGCCCCGGCUAACUUCGUGCCAGCAGCCGC